This 521-nucleotide ribosomal RNA is filed under the name uncultured bacterium. RNAcentral describes it as "bacterial SSU rRNA". It matches the Rfam family "Bacterial small subunit ribosomal RNA", at positions 988 to 1509 of the family's 1533-position model. The record is from RNAcentral.
CCAGAGAACUUAGCAGAGAUGCUUUGGUGCCUUCGGGAACUCUGAGACAGGUGCUGCAUGGCUGUCGUCAGCUCGUGUUGUGAAAUGUUGGGUUAAGUCCCGCAACGAGCGCAACCCUUAUCCUUUGUUGCCAGCGGCUCGGCCGGGAACUCAAAGGAGACUGCCGGUGAUAAACCGGAGGAAGGUGGGGAUGACGUCAAGUCAUCAUGGCCCUUACGGCCAGGGCUACACACGUGCUACAAUGGUGCAUACAAAGAGAAGCGACCUCGCGAGAGCAAGCGGACCUCAUAAAGUGCGUCGUAGUCCGGAUUGGAGUCUGCAACUCGACUCCAUGAAGUCGGAAUCGCUAGUAAUCGUAGAUCAGAAUGCUACGGUGAAUACGUUCCCGGGCCUUGUACACACCACCCGUCACACCAUGGGAGUGGGUUGCAAAAGAAGUAGGUAGCUUAACCUUCGGGAGGGCGCUUACCACUUUGUGAUUCAUGACUGGGGUGAAGUCGUAACAAGGUAGGCGUAGCGAG